Long non-coding RNA from Leptinotarsa decemlineata (Colorado potato beetle), 482 nucleotides. The record is from RefSeq and is a predicted model, not a curated record. Lineage: Eukaryota; Metazoa; Arthropoda; Insecta; Coleoptera; Chrysomelidae.
UCCUGACGGGAGUAGGUUCAUUUGGAUAAAUAAUAAGUGGAAAGUGUGUAUUGGGUAUUGUUCCAAAUAUAUCGUUGCGAAUUUGGAAGGGAUGACCCAUAUUUCCGGACUCUUAAAGCUAACUAUACUGGCUAUCGAAAUUCUAACGUUUACAUAAAAUCAUAAGAAGAUCAGCAAAACAAAGGCGCAAAGUUCUGCCUCAUUUACAAAGUUACGUAUACGAUCAGGAACAGAAAGGAGGAAAAAAAAGCAACUCUUCUGAAAAGAAGGGUUGUUUGGUACGACUAGAUUUUGGAUGACACUGAUUCUUGGAAGACAGAAAGGGAAUCUGGGAACUUACCAGCCUUUACGACAGUUCAUUCAACAACCAGGGAGGCAUCAAGACACGCAAGUAGUGGGGAAAGCUAGACACCUAUAGAUUAUUGUUACUUAUUUAUUUCAAGAGGAAUAUCGAAUUUAACCUUUUGCGUCUAACCUAUAUA